CAAUCUUAUUUGUAGACACAGAUGAAUCAAAUCAUUUCACUGUCACUGGUUGGGACCUAGAACAAGAGUCUAUUGGGAAUGUCAAUGUUUUCAGUCACUUGCUUGUAAUAACUUAAGUGUCAUUAUCACCAUAGCUAUUACCUUUGAUGUUUUUACAUCCCUUCUUAUCCCUGACCAAGAUCAGUAUCAGUUGUGGAUGUCAAUAGCCACCUUUCCAUGUAGGAACUUAUGGAAAAAUAUCCCUUGAGGGACUUUUCACACCAAAUGUAUCCAAAUAAAUGAUGUCUUCCUUAUGACUGCUUUCACAUCAAUUGUGAAACUGUGCUGCAAAACUGUAGGUAUUUCAUACUUGUUGUGUGGACGUCUACGCAUAACAUGAAUAUGAAGAGUAUCGUGGUUGGGACAAUAACUAGUGGUAGGGACAAGUUCAAUACAGCUUUAAACAAAUGUAGAUGAAUGACCUUGCACUGUCUGCAAUUGACAUUUUAGAAUGUUUACAGCGAACAAGUCACAGAUCCUCCUUCAAUUUACAUUCCUCAUUUACCUUGAUGCAUGCUAUUUGAAUCGGGGUGGACAACAGCUCUUUUCAGAGUGAAAUCCAUUUUGUGAUCCCCAAAAAUGUAUUAGUAGUGACUUUUUUGUUGUGAGUUUCACUUGGUAUUUUUGUUUUUUUAAACUUUCCUGUCGGUUUGAAUAGUCAUGAAACAUUAUGAUAAUCUUUGGCUCUGCUCCUUAUGUUUAUUCACAGAUCCUCUGCUUGAUACAAUUACGGGAUGUGAAGUCUGAUUCUGUCCUCAACUUGUGGACCUGCUCUGAGGAUGUUGGACACCACUGUUGCACCUUCAGCCAUUUAUCUUUUUCCUGUCAGUCGAUGGGCUGACUGACCUCAAGGCGCAGAAUGUGUUUUGUUUGUCGUCGGCAUAUUAUUCAGAGAACUGUCUGUUGUGAAUGACAAAGAUAUCCAGUCAUUUUUUAAAUUAUUUAUAAAGUAUGACCUGUACUAUGACAAUAGUAGUUUAGCACUACUCGAGAAAUGAUUAAUGACAUAUUCUGUGGCGGCAAUCAGCCUAGAGGUUUGAGAUGUGGAUCAGUUACUGAUGCGUUGCUAGUGUCAUUUCCUAGCUGACCUCUAUGUACUAAGUGUUGUGCCUUUUAGCUGGGCACAUAUUCCCAAAAAUGUUCCAUGGGUGGUGUGCUGCGGCUGACCUGGUGCCUCUGCACUUGUGUUUUGGGGGGUUGGGAAAGGCUAAAGACAAAGUUCAAUUUCUGGAAAAAAGGACAAAGCAUUAUCCUGUUGUAUUUUAGGUAUAGGAGGAGGUCUGAUCAUCUAGUCUGGUGCAGUGGGGUGUUCCAGGUCCGCAACACUUGAGGAGAAAAUGUCUUAAUCAUGAUGACAAGGUAAGGGAUGAGGGCCUUGUCGGGCAUAUGAAGUAAAUCCUUCCCGUCCGACUCGUUGAAGAAAAAGUAUUCCUCCAGUACGGGGUCAUCUGCUUGCCAUACUAGAGGGACAUAGUCUGUUUCAGUCCUCAACUUGCGGACCUGCCCUGAGGAUGUUAUACACCACUGUUGCGCCUUCAGCCAUGUUGAUUUCCGACUGGUAGUCUUUGGACUACAUGCCAUGGGCUGACUGACCUGAACCUUUACCAGAACAGAAAUACAAUGUUCAUCAGACUUUCCUCACAUUGGACUACUCUCUGAUUAGUUAUGAGGUCACAGGAAAUAGACUCAUUACUCAUAAAUUAUUGAAGCUCACUUGACUGCAUCUGACAGUGGAUAGCAGAGCUCUCUGGUGUUUAACCAUUUGAAAUUAAACAACAAAAAUGUAAAUUACCAUUUUUUUUACACACUUCCAACAUAUCGCAGCAGUAAGAGUAGUAUUCUAACCGACUCGUAUAAACAACAUCCUUGAGUGUUUCAUUGAUAAAUGUAGCUUUGUAAGAUUGUAUUUCUUUUUUACUUAAAAAACCUGUAGACAUGCAUGAUCCUGUAAAUAUUUUCAUGGAACAUAAAUCUCACUACUUGGCAUUUUUAUAUGGUGAUUGUGAAAGAGAUAUUUGUAAUGUACUUUUGUGUGUUCAUUGAAAUCAAAUUUGUUUACAUUGGACUAGUCCAUAAGAUUUUAGUUAGGAUUUUUUUGUCUUCACUUUUUUGUGCAAUCAUCUCCACGUAAUACAGCCAGCUUUUCCAUUCUUGGCUAUCUGCCUCUGCAGCCUUUGUCUAAACUUUCAUUUUUUUGUAUUACUUUGUUAUUUUUAUUGCUACUGUCUUCACAUGGAGAUGUUAGUUAUGGGUUGAUGAUUCCAAUUUGGCAACAGGUGGUUGGAUAGUUGGGAUUAAAUAAGUAUUGUUUCGGUAAUACAAUAUGUAAAUAUUGGUCCCACAUUAAACCAAGUACAAUCACUACCAAGCACUACAUUCAGAAAUAAUUUGUAGAGUACGGCAUAUGGUUCUAGACUAUUUGUGAAGUAUUUAUGUAGUGUUUAUGAAGCCUUUAUGAAUGCUAUUAAAAUUAUAAAUACUAGUAUUAUUAA
This is a long non-coding RNA of Salvelinus fontinalis (brook trout), 2531 nucleotides long. RefSeq lists it as uncharacterized. The transcript has 3 exons. Lineage: Eukaryota; Metazoa; Chordata; Actinopteri; Salmoniformes; Salmonidae. The record is from RefSeq and is a predicted model, not a curated record.